RNAcentral lists this ribosomal RNA (305 nucleotides) under uncultured bacterium. RNAcentral describes it as "bacterial SSU rRNA". It matches the Rfam family "Bacterial small subunit ribosomal RNA", at positions 337 to 659 of the family's 1533-position model. The record is from RNAcentral.
UCCUACGGGGCGCAGCAGUAGGGAAUAUUGCUCAAUGGGGGAAACCCUGAAGCAGCAACGCCGCGUGGAGGAUGAAGGUUUUCGGAUUGUAAACUCCUUUUGUUAGAGAAGAUAAUGACGGUAUCUAACGAAUAAGCACCGGCUAACUCCGUGCCAGCAGCCGCGGUAAUACGAAGGGGGCAAGCGUUGUUCGGAAUUACUGGGCGUAAAGGGAGUGUAGGCGGUUUAGUAAGAUAGUGGUGAAAUCCCAGAGCUUAACUUUGGAAUUGCCAUUAUAACUAUUAGACUAGAAUUACAGAGAGGAU